RNAcentral lists this ribosomal RNA (253 nucleotides) under uncultured bacterium. Its description in RNAcentral is "partial 16S ribosomal RNA". It matches the Rfam family "Bacterial small subunit ribosomal RNA", at positions 524 to 776 of the family's 1533-position model. The record is from RNAcentral.
UACAGAGGUCUCAAGCGUUGCUCGGAUUCAUUGGGCGUAAAGGGUGCGUAGGUGGCGGGGUAAGUCAGGUGUGAAAUCUCGGAGCUCAACUCCAAAACUGCACUUGAUACUGCCUUGCUCGAGUACUGGAGAGGAGAUUGGAAUUUACGGUGUAGCAGUGAAAUGCGUAGAUAUCAAGUGGAACACCAGUGGCGAAGGCGAGUCUCUGGGCAACAACUGACGCUGAGGAGCGAAAGCGUGGGGAGCGAACAGG